RNAcentral lists this non-coding RNA (119 nucleotides) under Arcanobacterium haemolyticum. RNAcentral describes it as "FMN sequence". It matches the Rfam family "FMN riboswitch aptamer (RFN element)". Rfam says of the family: The RFN element is a highly conserved domain that is found frequently in the 5'-untranslated regions of prokaryotic mRNAs that encode for flavin mononucleotide (FMN) biosynthesis and transport proteins. This element is a metabolite-dependent riboswitch that directly binds FMN in the absence of proteins. In Bacillus subtilis, the riboswitch most likely controls gene expression by causing premature transcription termination within the 5' untranslated region of the ribDEAHT operon and precluding access to the ribosome-binding site of ypaA mRNA. The record is from RNAcentral. RNAcentral also lists the same sequence under 1 other name. Lineage: Bacteria; Bacillati; Actinomycetota; Actinomycetes; Actinomycetales; Actinomycetaceae.
UACGUGCUCCGGGGUCAGUGUAAGUCUGAACCGGCGGUGAUAGUCCGCGACCCACGAAAGUGGUUGAUUGGGUGAAAUUCCCAAACCGACGGUUAAAGUCCGGAUGGUAGGAGCAACAU